CAUUAAGUGGCUGAAAUAUUUAAGCAUUGGUCUCUUAAACCAAAUUAUAAUAUAUUAAUAAAUACUCUUAAUGA
Molecule: transfer RNA, 74 nt
Filed under: Chelurotropella siamensis
Lineage: Eukaryota; Metazoa; Arthropoda; Insecta; Hemiptera; Urostylididae
Description: tRNA-Lys
Source: RNAcentral